GUCAGUCUCUCAUACAUGAGGAUCAUUUCAUAGUUAUUUUUGGUUCUGUGGAAAGAUUUAGUAUGAAUAUUAAUGUGUUCCUGUUUAUGUUUAUGUUUGGUUCAGUGGAAAAUAUAGCAUUAUGUGGUAAACUCUGUAUUGAAUAUGGAUUGUAACAGAGAGUUAUGAUAAGAUCUGGACUGAGGAACUAUUGUGGGAAACAAGUCAAAGUUUGGAAGAGGAGAGGGUGGGAAGAUGUUUGUAGAAAGUUUCUACAAGAAACAAUUUGUAGAAAGUAAAAAUCCUAGCGUAACACAAUAUAUAAAAUAUGUUGUUUUAGAGGUACUUUAAUAUGAGUAAAAUAUGCUGGCUGAGGUGUGUAUGGAUAUGGGGCGUGUAAUGGGUAACCUGCAACAAUGACCCUCUCUAAUCUUGAAUUCUCAGGUCCAAAAAAUGAUUUUUUAAACAUCUAAGCUGUUUUAUAUGUUCAGUUUAUGUAUAAUUUUCAUGCAGCUCAAUGUGUUCUAUUUAUAUAAUUUAAUUUUACAUGAUCAGUUUCUGGAAAAUGUGGGAUUGUAUGAAAGUGUGGAAGAGACUGCUAGAAGGGAGGAGGUCAUGGGAAGGAUGAACCAGGUUUGUUUUUUGGUUCAUUUGUUGCAUUCUUUAAUCUUUUCUGUUUUUUAUCAUGUCUAAUCUGUGAAAUUGACCAGAUUGUGAAGGAUUGGGUGAAAGAGGUCUGUGUCAACAAGGGAUUUAAUGAGCAGCUGGUUGAGGAAGCUAAUGUGAAGAUUUUUACUUUUGGCUCUUACAGAUUGGGAGUAUGUUUGACCUUCGAAUUCUGUUUAUGCAUUUGGUUUUGGUUUCAAAAAUUUCUUACCUACUGAAUUAUGUUUUGCAACAGGUUCACGGUCCUGGGGCAGAUAUUGAUAUGCUAUGCAUAGGCCCCAGAUACAUCACUCGAAAUGUAAGAUAUGAACAUUCUUGUUCAUAAUUAUCUGGAUGAAAUUAGCUGUAUUAGCUAAUAAUAUCUUAUUUGCACUUUUUGCAGGAAGGUUUUUUUGGCAAUCUAUAUGGGAUUCUUGCAAAAAUGCCUGAAGUAGAAGAAUUGCACCCUGUGCCUGAUGCUCAUGUUCCUGUAAUGAAGAUUAAAUUCAACGGCAUUUCUAUUGAUCUCCUUUAUGCAAAACUGGAGCUCUGGACUAUUCCUGAAGUGAGUAUUUGUUUAUGCAUUUAUUGCUGUAGCAAUUCCAUAACAAUAUUUAUAUGAGAUAUGGGUGGGUAGGAGAAAGGUCUCUUGUUUUUAUAUUCGUAGACAUUAAAAUGUUAUAAUUUUCGUUGUUAUAAUUUUAUCUUAUUAUUAUAUGAACUAAUUAAUUUUGUUUUAUCAAUUAAUUUAAAUAAUAAUUUUGGGAAAUUUGUAACUUUAGUGUCUAUGAUGCUAUUUUAUGCGAUUCAUUUUUCUUCAAAGAAUAAGGUGUUGCUAAUUCUCUUAUUGAAUACACUAUAUUUGUGUUGAUGUUUGAGAAAUCUAAGUGCAAACUGAACCAUCGCAGGUUGAUAAAAUAAAAGGUAACAUGUGAUAAAAGAUAACACGCAAACUUUCAUUUGGUUAGUGAAUCCAUAUUUAGAUGAGCUAACAAACUCUCUGAGCAAUUUGAUCAAAAAUAGUUUUAUUUUCAUUUGACUGCUUUUGUGUUUUAGUGCUUCUCUAAAAAGUCCCUUGUUAACUUAGUUAUGAUUAUCCUGUCUGGGGGUCAUUUUACUUUUCUAUUCUUCUGUUAUCUAGUAUAAAUCAGUUGGUUUCUUUCAUUAUUUGACUUCUGCUGAAUUUAAAUACAUGUUGUCUUUCCUAAAAUUUUUACUAGUUCAGUAAUUUAGAUCAUGAAUCAUUUUAUACAUUACUGUUACAGGACUUGGAUAUUUCUUAUGAUUCAAUACUACAAAAUGUGGAUGAGCAGACAGUACGCAGCCUCAAUGGAUGCAGGGUCACUGACCAGAUUUUGCGAUUGGUUCCAAACAUUCAGGUAGAGCUGUUGCAAAACAGGCAUGGGUAGCAUAAAUAAAUUUGUUAUUUCCUGAUAUGCAAUCAAGUUUUAUAGGGUUUACUUGUUUGUCUUUUCUUGUUGUCUCAUCCAGAAUUUCCGUACUACCUUAAGAUGUGUGAGGUUUUGGGCAAAGCAGCGUGGAAUUUAUUCUAAUGUAAGGAAAUUUAAUCAUAUAGUUAAGAAUUUAGCUUGUUCUUAUUUUUCCCCUCUUUCGGGGUUUGUAGUUUGAUGUUGCACUCACUUUUGUUAGUAUCAAUCAGGUCAUAGGAUUUCUUGGUGGAAUAAAUUGGGCAUUGCUAGUUGCUCGUGUCUGCCAACUCUACCCAAAUGCACUUCCCAGUGUUUUGAUUUCCAAGUUCUUCAAAGUAUUCUCACAAUGGCGGUGGCCUAAUCCAGUCAUGUUGUGCCCUUUACAAGAAGGAAACCUGGCUCAUAAAGUUUGGGAUCCAAGAAGAAACCUCCAGGACAGGAAACAUUUAAUGCCGAUAAUAACUCCUGCAUAUCCAUGCAUGAACUCAAGUUACAAUGUCUCAUCAAGCACGUUUGGCAUCAUGCAAAAAGAAUUUCAGAGGGGCAAUGAAAUUUUUGAGGUAUGGUUUUUGUUGAAUAGCAUAUUUUAUUAUUUAAUUAUUUUAAUUUAUUCUUUAAUUAGUUAGUAUUAUAUAAUUAGAAUUUUAUAAAAAUAAAUAUAAUUAGAAGUUUAAUAAAAUAAGAAUUUUUCUAUCAGUAAAUACAAAUUUUAUAAAUACUAUAAGUGUAACAAUUUAAAAAGUAAGAAAAAAAAUUGUUAUUUUUUUUUCAAAAUCAACAGUUUUCCUACGGUAUUUUAUAGUACUAUGGAAUCCUAGACUACACUGUUUUUGUUGUUUGUGAUAGAUGUGAGCCAUUUGUUUUCAUUUUUCUUCUGCUACUCAAUAUAAUUUUAGAUUUUUACCAUUUUCUCCGCCCUUCAGUUCCAUUUAGUUGUGAUACUCUUCAUGUCUGAACAUAUUGCUGUUUAUAAUUUAUAUCAUUCAGUCUUUUAGCAAGACUUGUUAACCUUCAAUCUGUACAAUGAUCAUAGGCUCUGGCAGCAAAGGAAACUUGUUGGACUACUCUCUUUGAGCCUUUCCCUUUUUUUGAAGCAUUCAAGAAUUAUCUGCAGAUAAACAUAACUGCCAGGAACCAUGAUGACUUAAAAAUCUGGAAAGGCUGGGUUGAAUCUCGGCUUCGUUUAUUUAUUCUAAAGGUGGAAAUUUUCUCUUGCUUCUUUCUAUUAGGCUGUUCUAACUUUCAUAUAAUCUCCCACUUUUAUGUAUGAUUUUUAAUCUAGAUUGAGAGGGACACAUGUGGAACGCUUCAAUGCCGUCCUCACCCGGGCAACUUCUCAGACAAAUCAAGGUCAUUCAACAGUUCUUACUUCAUGGGCGUAAGGAGACAAGAUACUUGUGUUCAGGAAGGUCAAUAUUUUGACUUAAGGUUAACCAUUGAGGAAUUUAAGCACUGCCUGCGAACGGUUACCUUAUGGAAACCUGGAAUGAGGAUCACAAUAAGUCACACAACACGCAGAAACGUCCCGGAUUUUGUCUUCCCUGGUGGGGUGCAGCCUAUAAAUAAGACCAAAAAGGUUUAUGGGCCUGCUAAUAGGAAGAAGAGAAAGCGUGAUGAAGGUAGUACCAGCUGUAAUUUGAGAAAAUCUGACUUUGCAACAAAAAGUAAAAAUGCAAAAUUGGUAGAAGAGGCUAUAGCAAGAGGGGGAUGUGAAGUUAAUGGAAAUGGCUCCUUGGAUAUUGAUCAUGGUGUUCCUGUAGAACAUCUCGAAGUUGUUAGUUCUUCUGCUGAAUGCCUGACCUCAAUGAGUGCUUCAUCUGGCUCAUCUGAAGCGGAGAAGAUUUUGCUUACUUGCCAGCAAGCUUCCUCUAAAGAAGUUGAGAAGGUAAACGAUGAUGCAGGAUCAAGGAUUCAAGUCCAGAAUUUUGCUACAAGCUGUACAGUGGAUUUGUCAGAGUCAUUGACUAGAACACAAAAAAGAACUGCAGAGAAAGGAGCCAGCCUAUGCUCUAAUAUUUUGAAGAACACAGAACCAGAGGAACUUGAGGUAUCAUCAACAAACUUUCUUACUGUUUUGACUUGAACACAACUAAUAUUCUGUUUAAAUAAUUUAACUCUUUAGCUACCUUUUGCUCAAAAUUUUAGUUCUACCAAAUAGGAAUAAGAAGAAAUUAGAAAUAAGAAAAAUUUUGGAAGAAGACCUCAAUGUUCAAUUCAAAUUUGGAGAAUUUAUAGUUUCUAUCCUAAAUCAGUUUGAAAAACUACAUAAAUGAGUUACAUUGUUGAAUUGUAAAAUUAUAUACGAAUAUGAUGAUCGAACUACAUGUCAUCUAUCAGUUUAGAGUCAAAUAAAUGAGUCAGAAAUCGUUGGUUUGUAAAUUAUAUAUGAAAAUUACGAUCAAACUGCAUGUUAAAUAAUCAAGUUUUGCGGAAUAUAAUAAUAGAAUGGGAAUAAACAAAGAUUGUCGAAAUCAGAUUUCAUGAAAAACUUUAAGGCUACUGGAUCUAAUUGGUCCUUUUUUCUUUUUUGCUGGUUGGAUACACAGUAAAACCAUUUUGUUUAGACACUCAGUUUUCAUUAUAUUAUCUCGUGAUUAAUUACUAUAGCUCCUCCCAAAAUCCGUAUAUGAUGACCCACAUCUGACUUCGUUUUUCUCUUUUCUGUUGGGAAAUAAAAACAGUCUACUCAACAACCGAAGUCUGCUGCAUGCGUAACUGCAAAAAAGCCUGUCAUCAGGUGAUUUUUCAUGCUUAUAUCGAUCGAAUUAGAUUCAAUUUUCUUGUAAAUAUAGAUAGUUGCGACAUUAUUUACACAUUAUUACCUAUGCAAAUGACAUUUCACUGCAAACUUUUCCUUUCAGGUUUAAUUUCACUUCUUUGGUGAGAGCUGCUUGAAAUGCAUUUUCCUCCAUCUGUUGGACUGACUGUACUAAGCUGAAAUUAGGUUAGAGCUUAGGACUUAACAAAGAACCUUUUUUCCUCCUGUCGGGCAGUUAUCAUAACUCAUGAAUAUGUAAAGAACGGUGUAUAUAAUUUUUUGCCAAUAUGUAAAAAAUUAUAUUUUCUUAAUCUUUCGUGCAGAGGAUAUAUAUACUUGUGCAAAUGCUUAUUAGCGAUAAUUCUAUUCCUAUUUUUUCAUAGCUAGUCGAUGCUGUAUAUUCUUAUUGAAGAAAAAAAAUAUUAGUUAGAUAAAUUUUGGAGAAUCUAUUAUAUUUAGAAUGUGAAAACGUAAUGCGUGAUGUAAAAAUAUAUUAUUUAAUUCGGUAACUUGUUUAUUGAAUAAUUUAAAUUUAAUGAGACAACAAAUUUAUAAAAUAAGUAAUUUAAGUCGUGAUUGUUUGAGAUCCAAACAUUUGAAUUUUAUUGUAGUCAUGACUUGUUUUUAUGGGAUGAAAGAGGAUUAUCUGAUCCAAAUUUAUAAUAUAAUUAAUUAAAUAUAAUAUUAUAUUUUAUAUUGAAAAUAUCUUUUACUAUUUAUAUUAAAAUAUCAGACUAAUUAUGAAAUUCCCUUGAACAUGAAACAUGAAAAAUCUCAUGGCUCCAAAAAUCAAUUCAAGUGGACGUAUUAAACGAGACAUAAAACGAUGUCGUUCUUUUAAGAUCGAUUCAGAUACGCAUGUUAAAAAACAAGAGACAAAACGAUGUCGUUUUCAGUCCCAUCGCAACAAGUGAAAACCACUGCCGUUUUGGAUCUGACAAAUGGCGGCUCAGACACGGGUCGUAUUUUAAACGCGGAUUUGAAAAGUAGAGAGUUGGCGGCGAACGGUGUCGUAUUAAAGACAGUUUCCUUGCAUGUAGUGAAACGGAGCGCCAAUAGUUAACAAGGAAAUACCAGGUGAUUUCCUAUAUAUAUUCGUCACCAUCAACUCACCGCUCGUUUCUUCUCUUUUUUCUAUUUCUUCUCUCCUAAGUUUCUUGAUUUUCUUGUAUUCUGGGUUCGAGCUCUGAACGGCGAUCGUUAAUUUCUAAGCCUUCCACUAAGAAAUUAACAAGGUCGAUUCUGUUGUUUUCGCGGUAUAAGUCCACUAGUUCUUUCGUCCACGAGGAAUAAGGAGAGGAGAUUUGCUUGUUUCGGUUUAUUCUUCCUGAUUCAUUGAGAAGCCGUCUGCAAGCACUUUGGCGCUAAAGUUUUAACCAGUUCAAGGUGAUUCUCAAUUCUUGCUUUAUGUUCGAUUCAAGGUGACUCGAGUCUAGGGUUUUGUUCCGUUCAAGGUGACUCUGGGGUUUUGUUGGAUUCAAGGUGACUCUCAAGAACAGGGUUUUGUUCAAUUCAAGUUUGCGUCGUGCGGUACAUAGAGGAAGAACGAGAUUUCUUGAAUUCUUUGUUGUAAAAUUUGGAAUUAUUCUUGCGAUAUUUGAGCUUUUGAUGUCUGUAUUUGGGAUACUGUUUUUCUUAUUGUAAUUUGGAGAUAUUUCAUUGUUCUUUUUAUCUGUUAUCCUGACUUAACAUAUUGAGAUCUCUCCUGAUUAUCAAAUACGAGAAAGAAUUGUCACAUUUUUAAAGAUUAAUAUAAAUAGAAGAAAAAAGUAAACGAAUUUUACCAAGAAACGGAAGAAAGAACGGCUUUCGCUGAAAAAAAAGAAGAAAUAUUUACCAAAAAAAAGAAAGAAAAGGUUUUUCCAAAGAAAAGAAAUUGACUAAAAAAAUAAGAAAUAACGGUAUUCAUUGUACUUACCUGAAUUGCGCUGAAGAAAAAUAUUAGUUUAAUAAUAUUUCUAGAAGGGAGAAGAUGGGUGUUUCUUCGGCCACCAAGGAAUCAAGGAUGGGACUGACGGAGCCAAUAUCUACUGCGGGUCCAACUGAGCUCGAUCGGACUAGAAAUUAUGAACUGGAAAAGGUCAGUCUCUCAUACAUGAUGAUCGUUUCAUAGUUAAUUUCGGUUCUGUGAAAGAUUUAGUAUGAAUAUUAAAGUGUUCCUGUCUAUGUUUAUGUUUGGUUCGGUAGAAAAUAUAGCAUUAUAUGGUAAACUCUGUGUUGAAUAUGGAUUGUAACAGACAGUUAUGAUAAGAUCUGGAUUGAGAAACUAUGGUGGGAAACAGGUGGAAAUUUGGAAGAGGAGAGGGUGGGAAGAUGUUUGUAGAAAGUUUCUAUAAAAAACAAUUUGUAGAAAGUUAAAAUCCUAGCAUAACACAAUAUAUAAAAUACCCUGUUUUAUAGAGGUACUUUAAUAUGAGUAAAAUAUGCUGGCUGAGAUGUGUAUGGAUAUGGGGCAUGUAAUGGGUAACCUGCAACAAUGACCCUCUCUAAUCUUGAAUUCUCAGGUCCAAAAAAUGAUUUUUUAAACAUCUAAGCUGUUUUAUAUGUUCAGUUUAUGUAUAAUUUUCAUGCAGCUAAAUGUGUUCUAUUUAUAUAAUUUAAUUUUACAUGAUCAG
Molecule: long non-coding RNA, 7427 nt
Filed under: Carica papaya (papaya)
Lineage: Eukaryota; Viridiplantae; Streptophyta; Magnoliopsida; Brassicales; Caricaceae
Description: long non-coding RNA (CPAP_LNC003113)
Source: RNAcentral